RNAcentral lists this ribosomal RNA (466 nucleotides) under uncultured bacterium. RNAcentral describes it as "SSU rRNA". It matches the Rfam family "Bacterial small subunit ribosomal RNA", at positions 26 to 518 of the family's 1533-position model. The record is from RNAcentral.
AGGACUAACGCUGGCGGCGUGCCUAACACAUGCAAGUCGAACGAGGGGUAGCAAUACCCCUAGUGGCAGACGGGUGAGUAACACGUAGUCAACCUACCUCUUAAUGGGGAUAACUAGCCGAAAGGUUAGCUAAUACCGCAUACGAUCGUCGAGUGGCAUCACACGACGAUGAAAGGAGCAAUCCGUUGAGAGAGGGGACUGCGUCCCAUUAGUUAGUUGGUGGGGUAAUGGCCUACCAAGACUCCGAUGGGUAGCUGGCUUGAGAGAGCGACCAGCCACACUGGAACUGAGACACGGUCCAGACUCCUACGGGAGGCAGCAGUGAGGAAUUUUCCGCAAUGGGGGAAACCCUGACGGAGCGACGCCGCGUGUGGGAAGAAGGCCUUGGGUCGUAAACACUGUCGAGGGGACGAUAUUGACGGUACCCCUGGAGGAAGCCCCGGCGUAACUACGUGCCAGCAGCCGC